AGAGUUUGAUCAUGGCUCAGGAUGAACGCUGGCGGCGUGCCUAAUACAUGCAAGUCGUGCGGUAAGGCCCUUCGGGGUACACGAGCGGCGGACGGCUGAGUAACACGUAGGAACGUACCCCAAAGUGAGGGAUAACUGCUCGAAAGAGUAGCUAAUACCGCAUGUGCUCUACGGAGUAAAGCUUCGGCGCUUUGGGAACGGCCUGCGUCCGAUUAGCUAGUUGGUAGUGUAAUGGACUACCAAGGCGACGAUCGGUAGCUGGUCUGAGAGGAUGAUCAGCCAGACUGGGACUGAGACACGGCCCAGACUCCUACGGGAGGCAGCAGUGGGGAAUUGUUCGCAAUGGGCGCAAGCCUGACGACGCAACGCCGCGUGGAGGAUGAAGACCUUCGGGUCGUAAACUCCUGUCGAGCGGGACGAAUAGCUUCGGGGUGAAUAACUCCGGAGCCUGACGGUACCGCUAAAGGAAGCCCCGGCUAACUCCGUGCCAGCAGCCGCGGUAAUACGGGGGGGGCAAGCGUUGUUCGGAAUUACUGGGCGUAAAGGGCUCGUAGGCGGCCAACUAAGUCGGACGUGAAAUCCCCAGGCUCAACCUGGGAACUGCGUCUGAUACUGGAUGGCUUGAAUUCGGGAGAGGGAUGCAGAAUUCCAGGUGUAGCGGUGAAAUGCGUAGAUAUCUGGAGGAAUACCGGUGGCGAAGGCGGCAUCCUGGACCGACAUUGACGCUGAGGAGCGAAAGCUAGGGGAGCAAACGGGAUUAGAUACCCCCGUAGUCC
Molecule: ribosomal RNA, 776 nt
Filed under: uncultured Acidobacteriota bacterium
Lineage: Bacteria; Pseudomonadati; Acidobacteriota
Description: bacterial SSU rRNA
Rfam family: Bacterial small subunit ribosomal RNA
Source: RNAcentral